UCUACCAAUAUUCGGUGGAUGUCUGGAUCCACCACUUAGUGACCAACCAACCACACAAAGAAAAUACUCAAGUUAAAAUUUAAACAGAAGAAAAAAAAAAUUAAAGUGCAAACAGAAGUGUGAGUGAGAGAAGAAGAGAAAAGAAGGAGAGGAGGAGGAGGAGGAGAGAAAAGAAAAAAAAUAUAAAGAAGGAAUUGAAUUUGUAUUACUAAUUAAAGGAUUCAAUAAGCAACACAACCACUGAGUUCUUACUAUUAUCUUCAACAAUUACAAUAACAAGAAUCAGUAAUACCAAAGAGACUUUUUAAGAAGCUCUUGGCCCAGCUACAAGCCGAAAUACCAGGUAAUACAAUUUUUCUCCCCCCCUCUUAUUUUACAUUAUUCUCUCCUUAUACUGUCAUUCUCACACAUGCAUUCCUUCUCUUGUAACAACCUCCAGCUCAGCCUUUAGUUUCUUCCAGAAUCGUCUAGCUCAACAGCCAUUCCUUUAGCAUUUUCUUUAAUCUUCCUUCUAGAAUAUACUCUUAGUGGCCCAGGUCCAUUACAGCCAACCUUCACUGUUGAAUCAUUUACAACGAGGCUCCUUUCAUCUGCUCCAUGAGUCCUUGAUUUUAAAGUUUCAAGUAGUUCCCAAAGCUGGCCAGGGAUCAAAGGAAGCCUACCCUUACAUUUUUCUUUAAUGCUUGUGUUCCCAUCUGUGGUAAGACUGAUGAUUGAAGAUGGGAGUUGGGAUCCUUUCCUUUGAUCACAAGUGUCUGGAGGAUCUAUUCCUUCACGUGAACUGCUAGUGUCCAGUUCAACUGCUACUGUGUGAUCUUGAGCAGCUUCAUCAAUCCUUGGAAAUAGUUCUCUUAAUCUAUCCUCCAUUCUUUGAUUGGCCUUCAUGUCCACAAAAAUGGCAUCUGGACAAAUAUUUUUUGAAUAAUUUUUACCCAAACUUACAAUCACUAGAGAAUUGCCCAUCUUGUUAAAUGCUUCAGCUAACACAUUUACAUCCACAGAGAAAGAAUUAUGCUUCCUUCUUUUCCAAAGGGCAUCAUAAAAAUCCCUUGGCAGUUGUUCGGUGAUGUAGUUCCUUCCCAGCAAGUCAUGAAGUGUGUUUCCGCAAAUUCCAAAGUUCAAAUAAAGCAAACAUAUUAUAACAACCAACCUCAACACCACAACAGCAUAUGCAUCCUUCACAUUUUCACGACAUUUUCUGAUCCAUUCCAUAGUAUCUUUCUUGUCAUAAAGAAACUGAUGAACAAUUUCAACCAUAGCUUUUAGCAUGAUUUUUGUAUAUUGUGGUGCUUGUUCCACUAAUCUAGAAGUUUGGCUGCCAUUUCCAUCCUUGUAGAUAAGCCAUUCAACAAAAGAAGAUUUAGUGGCAAGGAAGUACCCCUGGGAGCAAGAUAACAGAAUCAGUUGGCGCUCAACAAGGUAUAAGAAACAAACAGGUGAGAUGUAGUCUUCUUCUUUUUCCCAGUUGGCAUUAUAAGCAUCUAUCAAAGCUCCAUGCAGCAUCCUCUUGAGAGAUAGCUCUCCUGGUCCUAUGUUAUUGCCGGCUAAAUUUUCCAUUGCUGCAUUCCUACAAAGGUCCUCAAUCAAAUCAUUCCAAGAUGAAUUCCAUUUUAAACCAUCCAUGAUUUUCGCAUGUAGUCCAUUAUAGAGCUUACCAGACCCAAGAAUUAUUAAUGCUAUUCUUCCCAGUUUCCCAUAAGACAAGUUAUUCUUCAAGUGGACAUUUUCGAAAAUCAUUUCUCUUAAGAGAUUUCUACAAGUCUCAGUUCUCCUGAAAGAAACCAUAUUCUGUUUCAGUGAUUCUCUCCAGUCCAGAGGAUAUAUGUAGCUAAAGAAAUGUCUAGUCGACAUUCCUACAAAUUUCUGCAACUCCUUGUUAUCACUGUGACAUCUGACCAGAAACUUGGAAUUCAAAAGAAAUUUGGAAAUCUCAAAGAUAUAAGCAAGGGACCUGCUUUGGCAGAAGAGAGAAAAUGAAUUCUUAAUUGAGAAUUCAUAAAGAGAUUCAAGAUUGGUCAAAACCUUCAUGCCAACAGAUAUUAACUCAGAAGACCAAUAAUUCCGAGAAGCAGAGACAAAAUGGUGAACAUCUAAAGAAAUGAGCUUCCCAUUCCUCUUCCCAUUCCUUUUUAUAUAUCUAUAGUCUACUUCUCUCACCCAAUCAGCAUCAGAGUUUAUAAGAACAAAAGUGGGACUUAGAUUAUUAAAGUGCCUUUGCACUCCCAAGUAGUUCAAGCAGAAUUCUCCAUAACUUCCAUAUUCACUAACAUCUUGAGUUUCAAGACAUCCAAGACACUCAAAUAUGUUAACAAUCUUAUCCUUCCAAAAUGACCAAGAGUAAAUCAGAGUUUCAAUUGAAACCUCAUUUUUUGAUAGCUUCUCAUCCAAAAAGCUUGCCAGAUCAAGAACCAAAUCAUUUUCCCACACAUACUCUGAGCUAUUUAGAUGAAAAUGGGCAUCAAGAAUCUUUCGAGCUGAUAAGAUCUCACCUUUUAUACUGUUAUGUCUCUGAGAAGAAUUUAGAUGCUGUUUCAUAAUGAACAAGUUACUUUGGUCAUGCAACAAAAUUUCAGCCUCCAAACACACAAGCUCGAAAAAUUGGUUCGAUUCAUUCUUUGCAAACGACUUUGCUUUUUCCAAAAGCUCCUCCUUCUGUGGAAACUGCUUUAAAGGCCAGCCUUUGCUCCCAGAUGACCACAGAGAGUUAGCAAACACAUACCAUAGAAUAAGCAUUGCCGACUGCUUAAAGUGUCCAGCCUUUCCAAAUAGAUCAGCCUCAACUAGAAGUUCACCUUUCAGCUUUGCAAUCUUUGCUGCCUCCAGGAAGUUACCAAACUCUUCUUCCAGUGACAAAAGCUCAUCAAAGCAUCCUAAAGCAUUCAAGAAAGUUCGAAUUGCAUCCAUGGAAUUAAACGCUCUAACAUAUCUCAUCAUGGCUCUGUUAUCAUUUAGCUUGUGAUAAUGAAAAGCACAGUUCUCCAAAAACUCUUUCUCGGUUUUGUCCAUUUCUCUGCUCCUAUAUUUAUUUGCAGUCGCUUCCUGUUUCCAGCACUGAAUAUAUUGCAAGCCCAUGUCAAAGAGUUCUCCCUUGGUACAUGCAGACAAGAACUCUGAGAAAUGGAAGCCCCUAGCAUAUACUUCUGCUGCAAGCUUAUAACAUCCAGCAAGACAGAAACAUUCUCCAGCUCUUUCUCUAGCAGAUUCCCCACAUUGCAAAUAGUUUUGACCUGCUCGUUUAUACUCUCUUAACAUAUAAAAGCAUUCUGCAGCAUGCUCAGCUUUGCCAAUUGAUUCAUAAAUUUCAGCAGCCUGCCUACGGGUGAUAGAAGCCUUUUCAGGAUUUGAGCAAUGCACUCUGUCAGCAGUUGCCUUAAGCCCAGCAGCCUUGGCCACUUUUUCACCAUAUAUAUCUCCUGCUCUUUCGAAACACAUUGUUGCCAUCUCAUAAUUACCCUCAUUUAGAAGCUUGUAACCCCUUGACGUCCACUCUUCUGGACUGCUAGCAACUUGCAUUGCUAGUGCAAAAGAGUCAUCUAGUUUUCUUACUUGAACAAGGUCCUUAUUCUUCCAGUAAUCAAACAUUGGUUUGGAUAACUCCUCUAUGUUCUCGCAAAUCCACAAUCUUUGUCUCGUACGUGUGAUAGCGACAUAUAACUGCUUUAACUCAGAGCAUAAAACAAUGUGUUUUGCUGGAUUGAAAGUAGGAAAGGACUCAUCAAGUAAGUUUUGUUCUUUCAUGUAUUCAUAGAUGACUCUCCAUUUAUUUUUCAGAGGCGAUGAGCCAAAAAAGUUGUACAAUAGUACAUCCUGAAACUCCAGGCCUUUGCACUCCAUUAUAGUCAACACGAGGGCUUGUUUCCCAACGUAGUUAUAAACUUCUUUCCUAGCUGAAUCAUCACGAACUAAUAUGACCUGCUCUGCCCCAAAACCAACAAAAUUGGUUUGUCCAUUCCCAUUCUUCCCAAAUAUAUUAACAAUUGCAUUUUCAUCAUUUCUUGCCUCAAGCCAAAUUGGGGCUUCCCCAAAUAUAAGACUAGUUUCAGGGCUUAAAAUAUCAACAAACGAAGGGAAAAAGCGGUAAAGGAGGUCAAUAACGCUCUGAGCUAACUUGAGAAUACCAGCAUGGGUACGAAAGUUUUGGCUCAAAUGAAAAAUUUUAGAAAUCCGACCUUUCUCCUUUCUUCCAUCAUAUCCUUCACUAUUUGAUCCUAGAAGAAACUCAUUGUAGAAUAGAUUUCUUAUUUCUUCAAACCUAAAAUCAAUGCCCCUAGCUAUGGUUUGUGCUGUGUCACCCGAAAAAACAAAGCCCUCACUCACAUUCCUACAAAUGUACUUGAAAAGAGCAAUCUGCCUCAUUGUAAGAUCUUGGACUUCAUCAAUAUAGACAAAAUCCAUAAUGUCACCUUCAUAUUUAACAUUUUUAAGCCUAAGAUGAAGAUCAAUAACAAAAUCUGCCAUAUCAAAAUCACCAUAGGCUAUCUUCAUCUUUUCAUAAUCUUCAUAGAUGUCGUAUAUCAUCUCUCUCUUCUCCCUACUUAAAGUUGAUAACCGAACCUCGGAGAGAGUAACAUAAUCCUUUCGUGCAAGUCUACCAUCACUAAAUUCCCCUGAUUGCAAGCCACAUUUUAUAUGUGACAUAAUCUCAGUAAAGGCUAUAGAAGAGUCAAGCAUUUUUGUUAUGUGUGUAUUGAAAUGUGGCCAAUAAAUUGAACAAAACUUAUCAUAGUUAACCUCCCUUGUAGUUAUAAAAGUUUGAAUGGAAAUGGAUUUCAAAUUUCUCUUUUCUGCAUGCAAAAUCUGCCUCACAUCAGGGAAUCUUUCAAAAUAUGAAUUGCCUAUUGUCCCAUCAAGCAUCAUCAAAAACUUAUAGAAAGAUAUAAUAAGAGGGUAUGAGCUGGAAGGAAUGUCAACAAAAGAAUAUGGGGCAUCCUCGAACUGUGCUAUCUCAUCAAUAUCUUCAAUACCGACUGAACUGCUUUCUACCAAAUAUUUUCCCCCAGAUGCAAAGCUUUUUAAAUGAGAAAUAUGAUGUUUUAUAGCAUAACAAAGUUUAGGAUUGACAGUCACAAAAAGCUGGCGCAAGGCAAUCUUCUUAGCCUCUCCAACACUGUCCUCCACUUUUUUUACAUCAUUUUCCACAUUGUUUCUACAACAGGCAUCCUUUGAGGUAUUGCCAAUGCCUUCACCAAUUCCUUCAGUUGCCAUACGGGAUUGUUGCUCUUUCUGAAACAACUUCAUAGUUAGGACAGUUGUUUUCCCAGUGCCAGACCGUCCUAGAAUAAACAUACUUCUUUGGAAUGCAAUCAUAUCUCGCUCUUCAACUGUUACUUCAAAAGGGAGUUCUAUUUCUCUACCAUCAUGGUCAGAAAGUAAGUGCUUCACAAUGCCAGAUGACAAGGAGUAGAAUUUUAUCAGUAGCAGACUCUCACUCACUUUGCAGUUCUCCACAUAGCAUGUAGCAUCAGAAGCACCAAAAUUUGAAUCGCUCCUGGAUUCACUGUUGCUAAGAUUCUUAUAACGGACAAUCUCAAAAGAGGUUGACCAAUUUUUGGGAGCUUCCAAAUUCCCCUUUAGACUUUUCUCAUUGCAUCGACUAAUAAAGUCAUCAGUCUGCCUUUCAAAGAUUCCAUCGAGACGUUUAACAAAUCUUGGAAUAUCUUCCAGUGGUAAAACAUCCCAAACCUUCAAGACUUGAAUGUACUUUACUUCUUCUUUCACUAUAUCAAUUGAACAGAGUACAUAGAGUCCUUCAACCUUGAACUGCUUCAAGAUUUGAGAACUUUUUUCACAAACUGAAUCCACAUUUUUUUUCUUAGGACGCCAACCACUAGAAAGUCUUAGCAGAAGGUUCAAAACAAAUUUCUUUGUCCGGACUGAUGUCAGCUUUGAAAAUGAUUUUCUAAAAUUUUCACUAAAAAGAACCUUCCACCUAGCACACUUGAAAAGUGGGCUAUUUCCAUUAAGCAAAUCAUCAAGUUGAUCAAACUCUUUCUUGACUUCUAAAAUGGCUUUGGCCAAUUCCUUGUUUUCAUCAGCAUUAAAGAAACAUUGACGCUGUUUUGCAUCAGAGACUAGCUCCUCCCAAACAGAUCCACUUCUAGCUAGAGUUCUUUCAUUCCCUAAAAUCCAGAGGCAGUGCCUAGCCCUCGUAAGAGAAACAUUAAUUCUCUGUCGGUUAGACAUAAAUCCAAUAAAUCCAUCACUGUUUGAUCUCACAGUUGAUAUUAUGACAACAUCUUCCUCACCACCUUGGAACCCAUCUAUUGAUUGGACUUUCACUGAAAAUCCAUUAACUUUUUUGUAUUUAUGACCAAGUUUCUCUUGAAUUGCAACUACUUGAGCAGCAUAUGGAGAUAUGACACCAAUGUUGAUAUUUUGUUUUGAGCCACUCCAUUCUUUAUACAGACAGUGCACUAAUUUUAACACAAUAGCUACCUCCACCAUAUUUCUCCGGCUAUGUCCAACAUCAUCCACCUCUUCUCUUCCACCAGUUACAUUUAUGAAUGAAUAGGGGCCAAACAUUGAGCCUGGAAGAUAAUGCUUUUCAUAACUUUUACUCCUGACAUUUGGCGCAUCUAUUAUAAGAUUAGAGUAAAAGUUUUUGUUUGGGAAGGUACUGAUCGAUGGAUGCAUCCUGUACUGCAUAUUUAAAAGGUGUUUUGGAUGACCUAACGAGCUCAACCUUUCAAAUAAACUUCUUCCAAAGCCAGCUUCAUCAGAAAGAUUGCUUUCCACAGUAGCUGGUAACUGGCAUUCAUCGCCAAUAAGAAUGGCAUGCCUAAUUCCAGGAAGCUGUAAGGGUAUUGUUGAUUCACACUCUUUUAAUUGGGCUGCUUCAUCAAUGACCAACAAAUUCAUUGGUUCCAUUUUCAAUGAAUACAGCUUAUAUGAACUAGAUGCCGUGCAGAAAAUCAAGGAAGCAUUUUGAAAACAGAAAUUUUCCAUUGAACGCCUGCUCAUAGAACUUUUAAAAUCAAAUCCACUUAGAGAAGUACGGAGAUUCUUUAAAAUAGAAAGGCAUUUGCUUCUCUGCGAGAAUAAUAGCAACGAAAUAUCUGCAAAAACUUCAAAAGAAUCCUCAGCUAACUCUGGACGUGAAAAAAGCUUCUCAAGUUCUUCAGAGAUUACAUCAUCACGGAAGAGCAAAGUUUCAAAAGAACCAAGUAACCCAACAAGGGAUAUCAUAUUUUGAAUAUCAUGUUUCAGGAUAUAGCUUUCAGGUGUAUGAGAGCAUAAAGUAAAGGCACAUGUUUUCAGUUGUAAUAUAUUGAAGCGGAAUUGCUCUCUCAUAAAUUCAAGAAAUGAUUUAUGCUUCCCACUGCAAACAACACCUUCACCGCUGCAAUUUUUCUCUGUGUUUUCAUUUUCCUGAUCACGCUCCUGCUCUUUGAUCAAUUCUUUUUCCAAGAAAUUAUAAUACUGACAAACGCAAUCUUCAAAAAAGUCUAUUGUUGAAGUGAAACACGACCUUUUAGCAGUCAAAGCUGCAAAGCACUUUCUAAGCCUUUUAACACGAUAAUCCAAAGAUAUGUCUUCAAUCUCUGAGUUAACUUUGAGCCUGUCCUUAUUCCCAAAUAACAGAAUAUCACUCAAAGAACAAAACAAAGCAUCAGUUCCUGAGCCUAUUUCGGA
RNAcentral lists this unclassified non-coding RNA (7632 nucleotides) under Hevea brasiliensis (rubber tree). Lineage: Eukaryota; Viridiplantae; Streptophyta; Magnoliopsida; Malpighiales; Euphorbiaceae. The record is from RNAcentral.